Molecule: non-coding RNA, 26 nt
Filed under: Callithrix jacchus (white-tufted-ear marmoset)
Lineage: Eukaryota; Metazoa; Chordata; Mammalia; Primates; Cebidae
Also listed under: 2 other names
Source: RNAcentral
UGGGUCCUAGUUUCAACUCUGCCGUC